This 254-nucleotide ribosomal RNA is filed under the name uncultured bacterium. RNAcentral's name for it is "partial 16S ribosomal RNA". It matches the Rfam family "Bacterial small subunit ribosomal RNA", at positions 524 to 777 of the family's 1533-position model. The record is from RNAcentral.
UACGGAGGGAGCUAGCGUUGUUCGGAAUUACUGGGCGUAAAGCGCACGUAGGCGGCGAUUCAAGUCAGAGGUGAAAGCCCGGGGCUCAACCCCGGAACUGCCUUUGAAACUAGAUUGCUAGAAUCUUGGAGAGGUCAGUGGAAUUCCGAGUGUAGAGGUGAAAUUCGUAGAUAUUCGGAAGAACACCAGUGGCGAAGGCGACUGACUGGACAAGUAUUGACGCUGAGGUGCGAAAGCGUGGGGAGCAAACAGGG